Ruminococcus sp. JC304 is the source of this 50-nucleotide non-coding RNA. NCBI's taxonomy places the organism in Bacteria, Bacillati, Bacillota, Clostridia, Eubacteriales, Oscillospiraceae. The record is from Rfam.
GGACCACCCGGGAGGGUUAAGGCCAUACGGACAGCCGGGUCCACUGCCGA